Podarcis lilfordi (Lilford's wall lizard) is the source of this 73-nucleotide non-coding RNA. The record is from the annotation of a GenBank genome assembly. Lineage: Eukaryota; Metazoa; Chordata; Lepidosauria; Squamata; Lacertidae.
GUUUGGAUAGCUCAGUUGGUUAGAGCAUGGUGCUGAUAACGCCAUGUUGCAGGAUCAGUCCCUAUAUGGGGCA